This 516-nucleotide ribosomal RNA is filed under the name uncultured bacterium. Its description in RNAcentral is "partial 16S ribosomal RNA". It matches the Rfam family "Bacterial small subunit ribosomal RNA", at positions 355 to 889 of the family's 1533-position model. The record is from RNAcentral.
UGGGGAAUAUUGGACAAUGGGGGCAACCCUGAUCCAGCCAUGCCGCGUGAGUGAUGAAGGCCUUCGGGUUGUAAAGCUCUUUUGGCGGGGACGAUGAUGACGGUACCCGCAGAAUAAGCCCCGGCUAACUUCGCGCCAGCAGCCGCGGUAAGACGAAGGGGGCUAGCGUUGUUCGGAAUUACUGGGCGUAAAGCGAGUGUAGGCGGUUGCCGUAGUCAGGUGUGAAAGCCUUGAGCUCAACUCAAGAAAUGCACUUGAUACUGGGUGACUAGAGGACCGGAGAGGAUAGUGGAAUUCCCAGUGUAGUGGUGAAAUACGUAGAGAUUGGGAAGAACACCAGUGGCGAAGGCGGCUAUCUGGACGGUUACUGACGCUAAGACUCGAAAGCGUGGGGAGCAAACAGGAUUAGAUACCCUGGUAGUCCACGCCGUAAACGAUGGGUGCUAGACGUUGGCGAGCUUGCUCGUCAGUGUCGCAGCUAACGCGUUAAGCACCCCGCCUGGGGAGUACGGCCGC